This 491-nucleotide ribosomal RNA is filed under the name uncultured bacterium. RNAcentral's name for it is "partial 16S ribosomal RNA". It matches the Rfam family "Bacterial small subunit ribosomal RNA", at positions 30 to 506 of the family's 1533-position model. The record is from RNAcentral.
AGUGAACGCUGGCGGUAGGCCUAACACAUGCAAGUCGAACGGCAGCACAGUAAGAGCUUGCUCUUACGGGUGGCGAGUGGCGGACGGGUGAGGAAUACAUCGGAAUCUACUUUUUCGUGGGGGAUAACGUAGGGAAACUUACGCUAAUACCGCAUACGACCUACGGGUGAAAGCAGGGGAUCUUCGGACCUUGCGCGAUUGAAUGAGCCGAUGUCGGAUUAGCUAGUUGGCGGGGUAAAGGCCCACCAAGGCGACGAUCCGUAGCUGGUCUGAGAGGAUGAUCACCCCACUGGGAACUGGGACACGGGCCAAACCCCCAGGGGGGGCAGGGGGGGGGAAUAUGGGAAAAGGGGCGCAAGCCUGACCCGCCCAUACCGGGGGGGGGAAGAGGGCCUUCGGGUUGUAAAGCCCUUUUUUUGGGAAAAAAAAGCAGCGGGUUAAUACCCCGCUGUUUGGGGGGAACCCAAAGAAUAAGCACCGGCUAACUGCGU